RNAcentral lists this ribosomal RNA (253 nucleotides) under uncultured bacterium. RNAcentral describes it as "partial 16S ribosomal RNA". It matches the Rfam family "Bacterial small subunit ribosomal RNA", at positions 524 to 776 of the family's 1533-position model. The record is from RNAcentral.
UACGUAGGCAGCAAGCGUUGUUCGGAGUUACUGGGCGUAAAGAGUGCGUAGGCGGUCCUGUAAGUUUGGUGUGAAAUCUCCCGGCUCAACUGGGAGGGUGCGCCGAAGACUGCAGGGCUUGAGUAUGGGAGAGGUAAGCGGAAUUCCUGGUGUAGCGGUGAAAUGCGUAGAUAUCGAGAGGAACACCUGCGGCGAAGGCGGGUUGCUGGGCUGAUACUGACGCUGAGGCGCGAAAGCCAGGGGAGCGAACGGG